Pisolithus marmoratus is the source of this 94-nucleotide non-coding RNA. NCBI's taxonomy places the organism in Eukaryota, Fungi, Basidiomycota, Agaricomycetes, Boletales, Pisolithaceae. The record is from the annotation of a GenBank genome assembly.
UCGGAUAUGGUGUAAUGGCUAACAUUGCCGCCUCUCACAGUGAGGGAUCCAUUCAAAAACGCGGCAGCUCGGGGUUCGAUUUCCCGUAUCCGAG